This 393-nucleotide ribosomal RNA is filed under the name uncultured bacterium. RNAcentral describes it as "partial 16S ribosomal RNA". It matches the Rfam family "Bacterial small subunit ribosomal RNA", at positions 523 to 918 of the family's 1533-position model. The record is from RNAcentral.
AUACGGAGGAUGCAAGCGUUAUCCGGAUUUAUUGGGUUUAAAGGGUGCGUAGGCGGUUUGCUAAGCGGGAGGUGAAAUGCCGGCGCUCAACGUCGGAAGUGCCUCCCGAACUGGUGGACUUGAAUGACUCUGCCGUGGGAGGAAUGUGUAGUGUAGCGGUGAAAUGCUUAGAGAUUACACAGAACACCGAUUGCGAAGGCAUCUCACGAAGGGUUGAUUGACGCUGAGGCACGGAAGCGUGGGGAUCAAACAGGAUUAGAUACCCUGGUAGUCCACGCAGUAAACGAUGAUGGCUAACCGCUGGGCUUAUCAGUUCAGUGGCCAAGCGAAAGCGAUAAGCCAUCCACCUGGGGAGUACGACCGCAAGGUUGAAACUCAAAGGAAUUGACGGGG